GACGAACGCUGGCGGCGUGCCUAAUACAUGCAAGUCGAACGAGAGCGACCGGUGCUUGCACUGGUCAAUCUAGUGGCGCACGGGUGAGUAACACGUGGGUAACCUGCCCAUCAGAGGGGGAUAACAUCCGGAAACGGAUGCUAAAACCGCAUAGGUCUUCGAACCGCAUGGUUUGAAGAGGAAAAGAGGCGCAAGCUUCUGCUGAUGGAUGGACCCGCGGUGCAUUAGCUAGUUGGUGAGGUAACGGCUCACCAAGGCCGUGAUGCAUAGCCGACCUGAGAGGGUGAUCGGCCACAUUGGGACUGAGACACGGCCCAAACUCCUACGGGAGGCAGCAGUAGGGAAUCUUCCGCAAUGGACGCAAGUCUGACGGAGCAACGCCGCGUGAGUGAAGAAGGUUUUCGGAUCGUAAAACUCUGUUGUUAGAGAAGAACAAGUGCUAGAGUAACUGUUAGCGCCUUGACGGUAUCUAACCAGAAAGCCACGGCUAACUACGUG
RNAcentral lists this ribosomal RNA (498 nucleotides) under uncultured bacterium. RNAcentral's name for it is "partial 16S ribosomal RNA". It matches the Rfam family "Bacterial small subunit ribosomal RNA", at positions 28 to 507 of the family's 1533-position model. The record is from RNAcentral.